Molecule: long non-coding RNA, 1276 nt
Filed under: Chinchilla lanigera (long-tailed chinchilla)
Lineage: Eukaryota; Metazoa; Chordata; Mammalia; Rodentia; Chinchillidae
Description: lncRNA (ENSCLAG00000028333.1)
Source: RNAcentral
GUUUUGCUGAGAUCUUUCUGGUAAAGUGCAACUUUUCCGCUCAGCUCCAAGUACAGCUGGGCCUGUGCCACGUGGAGGUUCACGAAGGUCUCCUGAAUUGAGAACUUUAUACCUGUUCAGUCCUUUCGGACCUUGCCCAAGGAUACGGUGAGAACCAGAAGAACAGAUGCUGGGACAAAGUUGCUGUAAGAGCUCGUGAGCUCCAUCCAUUCAUCUAUCUGUCCACCUGUUCAUCCAUCGAUCUGCUGAGGGCCCAUGUGUUGGUUUGGGGUGGCUUAUUUUGCAAGGGGAACAACAUAAUACAGGACACAUACUUUAUAUGAUUAUUUAUAAGUCACCCAAAGAACAGUAUACAAAAGAGUGCAGGAAAUCUGUCCACACACUAAGACCAAGGAAUCCAGCUGAGGGUCUGGAUCCCACAACAAUGUCCUACACGAGUUGAGCUGAAUACCCAGAGCUCAUAACAAUGCCUCCCAUGAAUCCAACUGGAGGCCCAGAACCCGUGACAAUGACUCAUGCGGACCUGUUUCAUGGAUCUUCUGGAAAGGCCCAAAGGUCAGUGGUGGAAUCUACAAAGUCUGUGCCAGCAGGAAGAAGGAUCUGUGCUAGCAGGCUGAGGGAUCCGCACCGGAGCCAGGAAGCGACGCCCAGAAGAACCAGGGCUCCCCCAAAAGGUACCACAGCCAUCGUCGGCAACAGUGAGGUCCCAAGCUCCUCCAAUGACCAGGAUGGCCGAGUUCCCAUCAGGGAAGCCAACACAGCAAGCUUUUCCAGGAGGCCGGCAAUGCACCAUCUUCCCCUCCGGAACCAGGAAGCUAUGCUCAAAGUGAGGACCAGAGCUCCCCAAAGUGAACUGAAGCCAUUCUCAGUGCCAGCGAGGUCCCGAGCUCCUCGGAGGAUGAAAACAGCCAAGUUCAUCAGGAAGCCAGCUCCUCACGGUCUCUCUCAGCUCCCAACAGCUUCUCUCAGCUCCCAACAGCCCUCUUCUUCUUCUCCAGGUCUGCCUCUUAUGCUGCUGACAACAGUCCUCAGGAAUCUCACUGGCAGAAGACAGUCCCCUCGACCCCUGCUCAGAGCAAAGUCAUCAGAGAAGCAACCCAACCUAGCAAUUGGAGAAGAUUCCAGCGUACAGCAGGUAACAGCUCAGGCACGAGCAAGGCCUAAGUUUGAACUGUGGCUCUGCCACUCACUCGGCAGAUAUUUUAAGCUCCCUAAACCUCAGUUUUUUGGUCUGCGAAGUGGGAGUUGUAGUUCUUACUCUGAAGAGUGUUUGUGA